RNAcentral lists this ribosomal RNA (467 nucleotides) under uncultured bacterium. RNAcentral describes it as "bacterial SSU rRNA". It matches the Rfam family "Bacterial small subunit ribosomal RNA", at positions 40 to 507 of the family's 1533-position model. The record is from RNAcentral.
CGGCGUGCCUAACACAUGCAAGUCAACUUGACUGAAGGAGCAAUCUGACAGUAGAGUGGCGCAAGGGUGCGUAACGCGUAAGUAACUUGCCCAAGGUAAGGAAUAACGUCGAGAAAUCGGCGCUAAUACCUCAUAAUGCAGCGGAUCCGCACGGAUAUGUUGUUAAAGGUUUACCGCCUUGGGAUAGGCUUGCGUCUGAUUAGUUAGUUGGUGUGGUAACGGCACACCAAGGCUACGAUCAGUAACUGGUCUGAGAGGAUGAUCAGUCACACUGGAACUGAGACACGGUCCAGACUCCUACGGGAGGCAGCAGUGAGGAAUAUUGGGCAAUGCUCGAAAGAGUGACCCAGCAACGCCGCGUGGAGGAUGAAGGUAUUCUAUAUCGUAAACUCCUGUGAGAGCAGACGAAAGACAGAUUAUUAAUCUGGAUGACUGUAUGCUCAGAGGAAGCCCCGGCUAACUACGUG